GGUGAGGUGUCCGAGUGGCUGAAGGAGCACGCCCGAAAGUGUGUAUACGGCAACGUAUCGGGGGUUCGAAUCCCCCCCUCACCGCCA
This 87-nucleotide transfer RNA is filed under the name Escherichia coli. RNAcentral's name for it is "tRNA-OTHER". It matches the Rfam family "tRNA". Rfam says of the family: Transfer RNA (tRNA) molecules are approximately 80 nucleotides in length. Their secondary structure includes four short double-helical elements and three loops (D, anti-codon, and T loops). Lineage: Bacteria; Pseudomonadati; Pseudomonadota; Gammaproteobacteria; Enterobacterales; Enterobacteriaceae. The record is from RNAcentral. RNAcentral also lists the same sequence under 1 other name.